This 1175-nucleotide long non-coding RNA is filed under the name Anas platyrhynchos platyrhynchos (common mallard). Its description in RNAcentral is "lncRNA (ENSAPLG00000026078.1)". The record is from RNAcentral. Lineage: Eukaryota; Metazoa; Chordata; Aves; Anseriformes; Anatidae.
UCUUAUAUUCUAAAAUGUGAAUUGUCUUCACAGAGAAAAAUGGCAUUUGUGAUUUUCACUUAGCCAUAGAUUUUCUCUGUGGUGAGAGAAAAAUACACUUUUAUGAUGGGAGUGAAAGCAAGAUUAUUACUGUAAACAUAUAUAGUCCCAUACCAAAAAGAAAAUUAAGCUGUCAUAACCUUGUAAAUUUUCAUUGUUUGUUUACUUUUAGUUGUUUUUGUUGUUGCUGCUGUUGGUUUUGCUUAUUUAUUUAUUUAUCCUUGUUCUAGACAGGACACUGCUGCUUCCAGACCCUCUAAAGCUCUUGUGGGUUGCUAAGAUUCAGCUUCACUUGUGAAAAAUGUGUUUCCAUGGCAGGACAGCUAAAAAACAUGAGCAUUUCUGAGGUGCUGUGAGGUGAUUUUGCCAAGGUCAGUUUCCUUACUUCACCAAGUCCACUUGAGCAUAAAUCAGCCUUGUCUUUACGGUUUGUUUUUCUAUUGCCAUGGAGUGGGCUGUGUGUGUGGUUAAUGCUGAGAGAGGUGGUAUGCAGCAUAAACAAGCCUCUUUGGAUGAAGGGCUUCCAAAAGAAGGGGAACACCUGCCCAAGUGCUGCAGGCACACAUGCACUUCACAUCUCACUGCCUCCAGUACAGAACGCAACCUGCAGUGCAUUUGGACGUACGUUACAUUGAGAGAGCAUCCUCAGUUUUGUCUGGCGUAUGGACCAAAGCCCCACACAUUCCAUUGUGAAGGUAUCACUAAUGAUGUGCUAGUUCUCAAGGAUGUACCAGAGUGCUGCAGCUAACACCCGAUAACACUGCUCACUCCAGUGCUGGCACACUUUGCCUGCUGAGUGUAAAAUCUCUCAUGAAACAGAUCUGAAGCAGUAAGUGGGGAUCUGCAUUGACUUGCAGGACCAUGAGGCAAGUAGCACAAAAAUCAGUUCUUGCUCAUACUUCUCUUCUAUAUAGGCUAAAUAGAUGUCUUUGAAUGUCUUGUUUUUUCCCUUGUUUCCUGCAAACAGCAAAUGCAAGUGUUACUUGUGUUAUGAGUGCAUAGCAAUUUUCCUUUUUAAAGCAAAAUAGUUUAGCAUUUGGGUAAGAUUUUCCUUUUCCUUUUUCCCUUCCCCCCCCCCCCCUUUUUUUUUUUUUUUUUUUUUUUAAACCUGAGAGCAAUAAAAGCUGAGUUCUUAU